CCUACGGGUGGCUGCAGUGGGGAAUAUUGCACAAUGGGGGAAACCCUGAUGCAGCGACGCCGCGUGAGUGAAGAAGUAUCUCGGUACGUAAAGCUCUAUCAGCAGGAAAGAAAAUGACGGUACCUGACUAAGAAGCCCCGGCUAACUACGUGCCAGCAGCCGCGGUAAUACGUAGGGGGCAAGCGUUAUCCGGAUUUACUGGGUGUAAAGGGAGCGUAGACGGCGCUGCAAGUCCGGAGUGAAAGCCCAUGGCUUAACCAUGGUACUGCUCUGGAAACUGUAGAGCUUGAGUGCGGGAGGGGCAGGCGGAAUUCCUAGUGUAGCGGUGAAAUGCGUAGAUAUUAGGAGGAACACCGGCGGCGAAGGCAGCUUACCAAGCUACUUCUGACGUUGAGGCACGAAAGCGUGGGGAGCAAACAGGAUUAGAUACCCCAGUAGUC
This 440-nucleotide ribosomal RNA is filed under the name uncultured bacterium. Its description in RNAcentral is "partial 16S ribosomal RNA". It matches the Rfam family "Bacterial small subunit ribosomal RNA", at positions 338 to 795 of the family's 1533-position model. The record is from RNAcentral.